GUCCACGCCGUAAACGAUGGAUACUAGCUGUUCGGUUUUCGGACUGAGUGGCUAAGCGAAAGUGAUAAGUAUCCCACCUGGGGAGUACGGGCGCAAGCCUGAAACUCAAAGGAAUUGACGGGGGCCCGCACAAGCGGUGGAGCAUGUGGUUUAAUUCGAUGAUACGCGAGGAACCUUACCAGGGCUUAAAUGUAUUUUGACCGUUUAGGAAACUAGACUUUUCGCAAGACAAAAUACAAGGUGCUGCAUGGUUGUCGU
Molecule: ribosomal RNA, 258 nt
Filed under: uncultured bacterium
Lineage: Bacteria
Description: partial 16S ribosomal RNA
Rfam family: Bacterial small subunit ribosomal RNA
Source: RNAcentral